CACGCGCAUGAAUGGAGUC
Molecule: small RNA, 19 nt
Filed under: Arabidopsis thaliana (thale cress)
Lineage: Eukaryota; Viridiplantae; Streptophyta; Magnoliopsida; Brassicales; Brassicaceae
Description: ATSL062060
Source: RNAcentral